GCUGGCGUCUUCGGCGUCCGCAUUGUAAUCUCAAGAAGUGUUUUCCGCUUCGGACCAUGCCUAAGUCCCUUGGAAAAGGGCAUCAUAGAGGGUGAUAAUCCCGUACAUGGCAUGGAGCGCCCGAAGCUUUGUGAUACGCUUUCUAAGAGUCGAGUUGUUUGGGAAUGCAGCUCAAAAUGGGUGGUAAAUGCCAUCUAAGGCUAAAUAUUGGGGAGAGACCGAUAGCGAACAAGUACAGUGAUGGAAAGAUGAAAAGAACUUUGAAAAGAGAGUUAAACAGUACGUGAAAUUGCCAAAAGGGAAGGGUAGGAGGUCAGAGAUGCGGCCUGGGAUUCAGCCUUGCUUUUGCUUGGUGUUUUUCCCAGAUUGCAGGCCAACGUCGGUUUUGGGCACUGGAGAAGGGUAGGAGGAACGUGGCACCUCUCGGGGUGUGUUAUAGCCUCCUACUGGAUACAGCGACCGAGACCGAGGACAGCAGCGUACUCGCAAGAGCGGGCCUUCGGGCACCUUUACGCUUAGGGCGUUGGCAU
Molecule: ribosomal RNA, 530 nt
Filed under: Dirkmeia churashimaensis
Lineage: Eukaryota; Fungi; Basidiomycota; Ustilaginomycetes; Ustilaginales; Ustilaginaceae
Description: partial large subunit ribosomal RNA
Rfam family: Eukaryotic large subunit ribosomal RNA
Source: RNAcentral